Long non-coding RNA from Zalophus californianus (California sea lion), 498 nucleotides. RefSeq lists it as uncharacterized. Lineage: Eukaryota; Metazoa; Chordata; Mammalia; Carnivora; Otariidae. The record is from RefSeq and is a predicted model, not a curated record. The transcript has 3 exons.
GGGACACAUCUCUCAGAAGCAGCAUAGCCGUGUGAUCCAUACACCGACGGACCAUGUGAGGGAGCGGCUGUAUCUGCUGCAUCUGUGUCUUCCCGGCUGUCUGACAGGCACAGAAGUGGGUUUGAGAGAUUUGCUAUGUGUAGGUAUGUGCAGGCUUUUUUCUAGGAAGAGGGCAGGGGAAGCAAAAGAAGAGAGCAACUGCAACAGCUGUAGGCUGCCUGAUUCAACCUGAUGAAGAGAGGAAGACAGAGCCUUUCCUAGGACGGUGUGCAGACCCAGUCAGAACAGCCGUGGACCUAGGAUAUUCCCUGACAGAUGCCAAAAGCUCAAGGGGAUGAGUAGAAACAUGGGAUGCCUCUUAAAGCCCUCACUUGGAGCUGUCACCCCUUCUAUUGAUCAAAGCAAGUCAGAGGGCCUCAUCCAGAGAACAUCCUCGGCCAUCCCCCUUCGUUCUGUGAAGCCGGCCCCCGGAUCAUCGCCCCGCACUGAUGGCCAGUC